CAACAAACUCAUACAACCGUGUGG
This 24-nucleotide non-coding RNA is filed under the name Arabidopsis thaliana (thale cress). The record is from RNAcentral. Lineage: Eukaryota; Viridiplantae; Streptophyta; Magnoliopsida; Brassicales; Brassicaceae.